Molecule: ribosomal RNA, 889 nt
Filed under: Pratylenchus thornei
Lineage: Eukaryota; Metazoa; Nematoda; Chromadorea; Rhabditida; Pratylenchidae
Description: SSU rRNA
Rfam family: Eukaryotic small subunit ribosomal RNA
Source: RNAcentral
GCUUGUCUCAAAGAUUAAGCCAUGCAUGUAUAAGUAUAAACGCUUUAAGCGUGAAACUGCGUACGGCUCAUUACAACAGCAAUAAUUUACUUGAUCUUGACAACCUACAUGGAUAACUGUGGUAAUUCUAGAGCUAAUACAUGCACCAAAGCUCCGACCCGCGAGGGGAGAGCGCAUUUAUUAGAACAAAACCAAGCGGCUUCGGCCGUCCAUUGUUGACUCAGAAUAACUAAGCUGAUCGUACGGUCUUGUACCGACGACGUGUCUUUCAAGUUUCUGCCUUAUCAACUUUCGAUGGUAGUGUAUCUGACUACCAUGGUGGUGACGGGUAACGGAGGAUAAGGGUUCGACUCCGGAGAAGGGGCCUGAGAAAUGGCCACUACGUCUAAGGAUGGCAGCAGGCGCGCAAAUUACCCACUCUCAAUGCGAGGAGGUAGUGACGAGAAAUAACGAGGCCGUUCUCUUUGAGGCCGGUCAUCGGAAUGGGUACAAUUUAAACCCUUUAACGAGUAUCUAUGAGAGGGCAAGUCUGGUGCCAGCAGCCGCGGUAAUUCCAGCUCUCAAAAUGCAUAGAAUUAUUGCUGCGGUUAAAAAGCUCGUAGUUGGAUCUGUGCCUGUGCUCUGGUCCACCUCGCGGUGCGCACUGGGUGCCACAGGCUUUCCUGCAGUGUUCAGCCCCGGCGCCUUCACCGGCACCGGUGUGUUGAUGCUGCAAGUUUACUUUGAACAAAUCGGAGUGCUCCAAACAGGCGUUUGCUUGAACGUUCGUGCAUGGAAUAAUAGAAGAGGAUUUCGGUUCAAUUUUAUUGGUUUUAUUGGCCGAGAUAAUGGUUAACAGAGACAAACGGGGGCAUUUGUAUUGCUGCGUGAGAGGUGAAAUUCUUGGACC